RNAcentral lists this long non-coding RNA (2523 nucleotides) under Acyrthosiphon pisum (pea aphid). RNAcentral's name for it is "uncharacterized LOC107884275". Lineage: Eukaryota; Metazoa; Arthropoda; Insecta; Hemiptera; Aphididae. The record is from RNAcentral.
UCUACAGCUCGAUACUUAUUUAGAAUGGGUCGAUACGGUGUAUUAUAUCAACGAAAAUGACUUCACGGGAAUAACUCUCGCGCCCUGUAGAUUUGUCGGAUUUCGUUAAAUUUUUUUUAUCUGAAAGAUGAGAAAUUUCAACAGGUCAGUUCAUAGCUCGAUUUUUCAUUUUACUUUGAAUAGUAGUAGAAAAAAACGUCUGAAAAAAGACAAAUAUUAUGCAUUUUUCAAAUGCAUAUUCCAGUUUCUAUAAUUAAAGUUUUCAAAAUCAGGCUUUGAUUCGACCCACAGAAUGUUCUCUACUUUAAGAUAAAAAAAAAUUAACGAAAUCCGACAAUUCUACAGGUCAUGAGAGUUUUUCCUGUUAGACAUGUAUUUGUACCAAAAAACGCACCGGCACUGACACCCUUAACUGUUAAGUAGUUAAGUUUAGUUCAUAUAAAAAAUGAUAUACCAAUUAAAAAUGUUUAAAUAGAAAAAAUUUAUAUUUUGUAUUAUUAAGUUCUGGUGUCCAACAACUUUAAAAAGUGAUCGAACAAACUUGUUUACACAUCGUAGAAGAAAAAUAAUUACUCCAACAACUUUCCUAAGUUUUUAAAUCACCAUUUUGUUCAAGCACUACAUUAUUCAUGCAAUGAACAGACGAAUAAUGGAUUUGGAGGCCAUACAGUUGAUAAUUUUAAUUCACCCAGAAAAGCUUUAGAUACUCAAUAAUGUUUAAUUCACACAUACUUAUGCAAGUAUAUCACUCAAGUAUCCAAUUUUAAAUGUUUGCCAAACCUAAAAGUUAAUUAAUAGUUUAUCGUUUUUAGUUCAUACAGUGGAUUAUAAUCAUUAUAUGAUAAUCAAAAGUGAAAUAUAUCAUGUAUCACAUACAAGGAACUAGGAAGUCAAGUCAAUAUAUUCACAACUUUCAAGACUUUGACUUUCUUGAAGAUUUUCCUAAGAUUCUCCUAACCUAACCUAACCUAACCGCCGUCUCAGAUGAAGCCAUACAAUAUUGGAGCGAAUUUUGAAACAUAUAGUUUACACACAGAUCUUGCCCGUCUCUGAUUUAAACAAUUGGUUCAAAAGCCACCUCAAGCUGUUAUCACACGUGUCAUUUGUGAAUCCGUGACUAUUGAACAAGAUUUGUUGACAAAGUCUUUACUUGUUAGGAUGAUUGGCUUUAACUGUGGAAAAUAUGUCCACAAAAAAUAUUGAAUUUAUCGCUGAUAGGCUGUUAAACGAAUUGGAGUGUCCUACAGCUAGUUUACAGAUUGUCAAACUUGUUCUUGUUUACAACAACAAAAGGCAAACUGCUUUAAAAAUGAGUAGGCGAUUACCAAAAAGCUUCAGCAGCUGUUAUUAAAAUUCCUCAAUUAUCAACAAUGAUAAAGACAUAAUUGAUGAAGACUUUUAAAUUAGAUAUAUUCUGAUAGGUACCUAUUUCCUUUUAUUUUUGUAAAUAUUUUUUCUAUGUUUCCUCCCACCAUCCAUCAGAAAGUAAUAAUAGUCUAUUCAGAAUAAGAACACACCAGGCGGCUAUGGUCAAAACUGGUGUGCUCUUAUUCUGAAUAGACUAUAGUUACUUUAUUUAACCAAUAAAAACUAUACCAAAGCACUCUGGAAUUAUUUUGUCAAUGUCAUAUUUAAGAAAACUUUAUUUUUAAAUUUUAUAAUAAAUAGAGAAGUAUUUAAAAUGUUUAUAAAUUAUACUAUGAUACUUUUCAUAUUUCUCGUAUUUACAGUUCAAUAAAAUUGUAUUUUAAAAUUUAGAAAUAUAUGACUAAUGUGUUGUAAUUUAUUGUUAUACUUGCUGCAGUUAUUCGUACAUACUAAAUAAGAAAUUCUUACUAAGUAAGCAGAAAUAAAUUAAAAUAUAAUAUAAGAUAUUGCCGUAGCCAUCAUCAAAAAACAGUUAAAACAUUUUGUUUUUCAUCUCUAUGGACUUAAAACUAAACCUUAUGAUAUUAAUAUGUUGAUUUCAAUUUUUUAGAGAGAAACAAGUUUAUUUAAAGUGAAUUGCCCGUCUGUUGGAUUGCCUAUAUGACUCAGUGUAAAAAUUCAGACAUAAUUAUUUUUGUAAUAUUAUAAAAUAUGGAUAAAACAGUAUAUAAAUAAAACUAAUGAAAUUAAAAAAUAUAAAACUUAUAAUAAAAUAUUGAGUGAUUUUUGAAUAUAAAUAUAAAUCAUUAUGCUUAAAACGUGGCGAUCUAGAUUAUUAGUAAAAGAAAAGUGCUUAUUUAUAUGAUUGUGUACAGUAUUAAGAAUAUAAGUGUUUAUGAAUAAUGUUAAGCGUAUUUCGCAUGAUAACUAAACACUAACUAAGUUGUUUAGCAUUUAUUUACUUUUUAUGAACUAUUUAAUUACAAAUAGAGCGUGGACUUGUUUGAUUUUGCAUAUUUAUAUAGGUUUGUAGUAUGAUGAUAAUAUGGUAGUGACCACAGAAUUUGUUUUAUUACAAUUACGAUUGAAAUUGUGAAUCUUUUGGUCAGAAUAUUUCAAUAAUUAACUAAUUUUCUCCAUUAUAAGGACUUAUUU